GGCGUCAACAGUUUGCAGUCCCGCGGAUAUGAGCUCGCCGAGUAUCAAGUAGACUGGUAUGUUAUGCCUUUAGUCGCUCACUGUCAAGCAGAAUGGAGACAUUGCUGUCGAGAUCAGAGAUUCCUAUAAUCGACCUCGCUCACCUAGGUAGCAUAGAGAAACCAACUCGUAGCAACUUGAAGAAGGUUGCCGCUCAGCUGCAUCGAUCACUGGCACAAAAAGGAAUUGCUUUCCUUGUCAAUCAUGGUAUUUCAAACAAUAGGCUGGAAGCAGCAUAUUCAGCAAUGGAUCGAUUCUGUGACCUACCAAGAAAUACAAGGGAGCUCUACUUGAGACAUCCACCUAGCAACCAUGGAUAUGUACCUCCAGGAGUUGAAAGGUUCUCAAAGGAACCAGCUGAUGAAGCGCGCCACACUUUCAAUGUUCUCUGGUUGGACAGAGGGCUACCAGAAUCUGAAGUACCAGGGUUCCGUGCCAUUGUUACAUCUGUAGCAUAUGACUUUCAAAGGGUGGCUUCAUUAUUGUUACGUGUUCUAGCUGCCGGUUUUGAGCUUCCAACGGAUUAUCUUCUUGACAUGCACCGUGGAAUGCUGGGAGAAGACAAUGAAACAUGUGUCCGACUUCUCUACUAUCCUCCUUGGACACCAGAAGUAGAUGAGGCAGCAAUACGCUGUGGAGAACAUACUGAUUAUGGCUCAUUCACACUGUUGGCCCAAGACUCAGAAGGAGGCCUAGAGGUGAAAACAGCUGCAGGUGAAUGGGCACGUGUUGGCUUCUUACCAGGAGCAUUAAUUAUCAACACUGGAGAGCUGUUAUCCUUUUGGACUAAAGGAGAGUACACUGCAAUUCCACAUCGUGUUGUGAUGCCUGAUCAAGCAUCAGUGCGGAGCCGAGCACGCCAUGCUGUGGUCUUCUUUGUGCACCCUGAUAACAACACUCCCCUCACUCCAUUGCCAAGUCAUGUACAGCUGACAAACAACCCCUCACCAAUACUUCCAGGGUCUGUCCAGACAGCCUAUCAGUACCUACAGAUGCGUUUUGGUGAUACUUAUGCAUGACAAAUAACAAAUAUUUGAGUUCUGCUCUCUUCAAACCAUUCUGCAUGAAGCCAAAUGACUGUGAAAUUCAUAACUUAUGACACCCUUUGCAAAUCAUUCAAUGAAACUUUACAAAUCAUGAAAUAUUUAUGGUGCUUUCAUAAUGAAAUUAAAGGCACUGAGACACAGUUUAUUAUUAUAAUUAUUAUUAUUUAAAAGAUAAUGAUUCAGGAUGCACAGUUGAAGUUGUAUGGAAAACCUUGAGAACCACUGACUUCCAGAGAAAUAUACUGUGAUGAUAUCAUAGCUCACAUUAAUGGUGGUUGGAUUUUCUUCAGUUCCAUCUCCAGCUCUGUGACUUGCCAUACAGCACUGCCAAGUCAAGGCUGACCAUGCUACCACCUAACUUGCCAUACAGCACUGCCAAGUCAAGGCUGACCAUGCUACCACCUACUGGAGAAGUUAUCUUACCCAGGUCACCACCUACGUUGAGUGCCAUGUGCCAACACUUCCGUGUGUGUGUGUGUGUGU
RNA transcript from Schistocerca serialis cubense, 1568 nucleotides. RefSeq lists it as uncharacterized. The record is from RefSeq and is a predicted model, not a curated record. Lineage: Eukaryota; Metazoa; Arthropoda; Insecta; Orthoptera; Acrididae. The transcript is spliced from 9 exons.